UUUUUGAAAAAAAAAAAAAAACCAAAUUUACAUAAAUUACCAUUUACAAAAUAAUACAAAGGUUGGAAGUUUAAUAAUGCUGAUACAUCUAUAAGAUAGCAGUGAAAUAACGUUUAUACUUCUGAUGCCACAGAGAGGUUGAUCCUUAUUCUAUUUAUGGACAAAAUGGGGUUGUUGUACCAUAACACAUUUAGGCAUAGUAACAAAAAGAACAUAAACUAUUGCAACCAACUAGAAUACUAACAAUCUUGUCCAAAUUAGAGCAGCAAUGUUAAAUAAAAAUUGAAAUUACCAGAAAGUAUCAUGAAAAACUUGUAGAGGCUUUAUGAAUUAUUUGCAUUAUCAUAUAGAAUGAUUGAAAACUAGACAAAACCCUUUAUUAGGGAUAACAAAAUGAGACAGAUGAGCCUUAGCCAAGAUGUCUGAAUGUAAGUGGAGAACAAGUGAGUGAUAUUUCUGCACUGUUACGGACUGAUUGGUGAUGGCCAAGUCAUGAUUUAGCCUAUGAGACUGGAUUGGAUUAUCUCAUAUGACUGUUCUGCAUAUCCUAAAGGAAUGCCUGGGAAUGAGAAAAAUUGCAUGUUGAUGGUUAGACAUAUUUUAAUGAUGAUACAAGAUUGCUUUCAUGCAUAUGGAACAGUUUUCAUGCCAUAUUGUAACAUUGAAUGGAUCAUGGAUUCAAUCAUACGAACCAGAAAUGAAAUUCCUGACAAAUAAGUGGCAACAUUACUGGUUACCACACAGAGAAAAAUGAUGCAGAACUCCAGCAGUCAUCCUCAUCUAUGAUGAUAUCCUAACUACUACAUGAGACCAUUAAUAUAUGGUAUUAUAUGCAUUUUUUUUUAAACAUAUCUAUAACUAAUUUUGACAAAGAAAUGGCAACAAUUUUUCUAGAAUUUGUACAUCAUUUUACAAGACAAUACUUGAGGUCAUUGUUGCAGCAGUUGUUCAACAGCUAUUCAUUCAUUGGAACUGAGAGAUGUUUUACCCCCUUUUGUACUCACUGGACUUAAGCCACUAUGACUUUGACUUGUUUUCAAAGUUGAAAGACCUAUUUUGAGGUAUACUUUCAAGACUAUCCCUGAUAUUUCUGGGGCCAUUCUUAGUUUAGUUGAUAAUUCAUAGAGUGGUAUAUUCAUUCUAUAUGAACUAUCAACUAUAAAUUUCUGUAUGAACUAUCAACUCUAUAUGAGUGUAUGUCCAUUCUAUAUGAACUAUCAACCAAACAGAGUCUGCCAAUAUCAUUCUGUGACUUCCACAUUGCUAGCAAUGGAUUUUAUACAAUACUGGUGAUUAUAUCAAAGGACUGUGAAGAUUUAAAACUGCUAUGUGUUUUUAUUCCACACUAAUUAUACUAUUGCAACUAUUAAACUUCAAAACCUUAUAUUUAUUAUUGUCAUAGAGUAUAUACAAAUAACAAGUUUAUGAACUAACAAUCUGAAGAUUAUUGCUCAAUAAAUGCUAUUUUAUAUAAAGUACAAUAUUAAAAUCAUACUCUUACU
RNAcentral lists this long non-coding RNA (1502 nucleotides) under Androctonus crassicauda. Lineage: Eukaryota; Metazoa; Arthropoda; Arachnida; Scorpiones; Buthidae. The record is from RNAcentral.